This is a long non-coding RNA of Etheostoma spectabile (orangethroat darter), 1015 nucleotides long. RefSeq lists it as uncharacterized. NCBI's taxonomy places the organism in Eukaryota, Metazoa, Chordata, Actinopteri, Perciformes, Percidae. The transcript is spliced from 4 exons. The record is from RefSeq and is a predicted model, not a curated record.
GUCUUCUGUGGUCAACCCAGAAAUCAAAUACCUACUAUAAACACUUCACAUUGUUUAUGAAUAAUAUUAAGAUGAAGAGGAUACUCACUUACUUUUUAUGCUCAAUACUGGUGUCAACGGAUGAGUUACAUAAACCCAGGACAGGUUUGGAAAUCUCCACUUCAUCUACAGCUGAUUUUUCUGCGAGCCCUGGAAAGAAAAUAUUGAUAUAGUAGUGUCAAGAUCAGAAACAACACCUGCUUGAUUGCUCACAGUCCCUAGGCGCAUUUGAUGUCUUUUUUCCAUGUUCUGAAGGUCCAUUUUGGUAACAAGGUGACAUUUGUGGUCAUCAGUGAGAGAAAAGCACCACAGCUAAAACAAACAGGGGCAGAACUCCGCUGAUGUUAUCGGUCUGAGGUGGCUGGUCAAGAGUUCAAUAUCCCAGACAAUGAUGUAGUCGGCAGAGGCAGAGCAGAGGAGAACAGGUCUGCUUCCUUUUCCAAAGGUCAUGGCACUGAUCUCACCGUGGUGGCCAGUUAACAACAGUGGCUGUGGUCAAACAUUUCAAUUCAAGUAAAAUAUGCAAUAUACUGUAACAAAUGUAUGGCUCUUGGAUGAUAAUAUUAGUGAUUGACAUAUCAAUAUUGACUUUCUCCAUCAUAAAAAAAUCAAUAUAAAUCACAUUCCUUCAGUGUAAUAAUAAUUUCAUUUUACUAGAUUGUGGCCGAUUUGUGCUAAUACAAAGUAGCUACUUUUUUAAUUACUUUUAUUUAGUAUUUUUAAAUUAAAAUGUUUUGUAACAUACAGAAUUUUGAGCCUAUCGUUAUACAAGACCAAUAGGCAAUAGCUUAUGAUAAAAAUAAAAAAGGAAAAAAGGCAUGUGCAGAUACAAAAUACACUAAGGACUAGCUAAUACACAACACAGAAAUCAAAACGUUAGCUAGGUCACUGUGGUUUGACAGAUAUUAUAAAUAAAAUAACAAGUAAAAGUUGUUUUGUGCACACAAUAGCAAAACUUUGAUGACAAACCUUAUGG